Molecule: long non-coding RNA, 874 nt
Organism: Hippoglossus stenolepis (Pacific halibut)
Lineage: Eukaryota; Metazoa; Chordata; Actinopteri; Pleuronectiformes; Pleuronectidae
Exons: 3
Source: RefSeq, a predicted model, not a curated record
CAGCAGGACACAUUGACAGGGCUGCUGGAUCCGUACCAUGAACAGAAACCAAUAUAAACAUGGCUGACUCGUGAGGGGGACUUCACACAGUGACUCCAGCAAGUGCCCUCAAAACGAAAGUGAUGCUGAGUGCAAACACAAGACACGCAGAGCAACGCCAUGUUGUUAGAUUUAACUGGAUACAGCAGGAGAGCUAAAGGCUAACCGGCUAACAACGACAUCAAUCGAGAGAUCGUGUUCAGUCACAACCACAGAGAAGCGAUGACAUGUCAACAAUCAGCCAGUCUCGUUUGCAUACGAUGCUAUAACGUUGUGCUGUUAGCUCCCACGAGCUGUGUUGACAGCCGACAAAACACAACGAGAGACGGUUAUAAAAUAAGCUACAGAAUAAAAGCAAAAAACAAACCCACCAGGCAAUGAUCUAAACCAGCGUGAAGUCGAUACCCGACGUCACAGCGAUCAAAGCGAUCGAUCUGUUAUGAUGAUAACAGUUAGCUAGCAGCUCCUAGCUAGCGUCUCCUGGCUAUUUGUGGCUAGCUGAAGCAGAAGCAGUCGGUUGCUUUCGCCUCGGGACUCGCACUAACCGUGAUAGACGCUGUCCUCAGUAAGGUGCCGGUUGACCACGCGGGAUUUUCAUUGAUUGUUGACAAGAGGAGACCUGUUUCCCGUAAACAAACAAAGAGACGAGGCUGGACACUGUCAGAACUGACAGCAAGAGACUGACAAGUGUUAGUUGUUUUUAGAGACAGAUCCUCUGAUGCCCAACAACCUGUCCUGACUGCUCCUGCUGCUGAAUGUGGAGCGUGACACACCUUCUUGCUGAGGUAUUAAAAGAGCAGGGGUCUUCAACGUUUUUCAGGCCAAGGACCCCCAA